This 460-nucleotide ribosomal RNA is filed under the name uncultured bacterium. RNAcentral describes it as "partial 16S ribosomal RNA". It matches the Rfam family "Bacterial small subunit ribosomal RNA", at positions 338 to 795 of the family's 1533-position model. The record is from RNAcentral.
CCUACGGGAGGCAGCAGUGAGGAAUAUUGGUCAAUGGACGAGAGUCUGAUCCAGCCAAGUAGCGUGAAGGAUGACUGCCCUCUGGUUUGUCAACUUCUUUUACAUGGGAAUAAAAUGUUCCACGUGUGGGUUUUUGUAUGUACCAUAUGAAUAAGGAUAGGCUAACUCCGUGCCAGCAGACGAGGUAAUGCGGUGGAGCCGAGCGUUAACCGGAUUUAUUGGGUUUAAAGGGAACGUAGGUGGUUUGUUAAGUUAGGUGUGAAAGUUUGCGGCUCAACCGUAAAACUGCAGUUGAUACUGGCAGUCUUGAGUAUAGUAGAGGUGGGCGGAAUUCGUGGUGUAGCGGUGAAAUGCUUAGAGAUCACGAAGAACUCCGAUUGCGAAGGCAGCUCACUGGACGGCAACUGACACUGAGGUUCGAAAGUGUGGGUAUCAAACAGGAUUAGAUACCCUAGUAGUC